This 21-nucleotide microRNA is filed under the name Monodelphis domestica (gray short-tailed opossum). Its description in RNAcentral is "mdo-miR-7398m-3p". The record is from miRBase by way of RNAcentral. Lineage: Eukaryota; Metazoa; Chordata; Mammalia; Didelphimorphia; Didelphidae.
AUAUUUCUUGCCUCUACCAAU